Molecule: transfer RNA, 73 nt
Filed under: Shigella flexneri 2002017
Lineage: Bacteria; Pseudomonadati; Pseudomonadota; Gammaproteobacteria; Enterobacterales; Enterobacteriaceae
Description: tRNA-Glu
Source: RNAcentral
CCCUUUCACGGCGGUAACAGGGGUUCGAAUCCCCUAGGGGACGCCACUUGCUGGUUUGUGAGUGAAAGUCACC